AGUUGAGGGGAAUGUCGUCUGGUUCGAGAUCCUUCACAACCGUGGAGCUUAAGCAUAGUCUGAAUGAUUUCGGACCAGGCUUCAUUCCCCUCAACU
RNAcentral lists this microRNA precursor (96 nucleotides) under Prunus persica (peach). RNAcentral describes it as "miR166b stem-loop (ppe-MIR166b)". Its record names the gene ppe-MIR166b. It matches the Rfam family "mir-166 microRNA precursor family". From Rfam's summary of the family: This family represents the plant microRNA (miRNA) precursor mir-166. Animal miRNAs are transcribed as ~70nt precursors and subsequently processed by the Dicer enzyme to give a ~22nt product. Lineage: Eukaryota; Viridiplantae; Streptophyta; Magnoliopsida; Rosales; Rosaceae. The record is from miRBase by way of RNAcentral.